GUGAAUCAUCGAAUCUUUGAACGCACAUUGCGCCCUGUGGUAUUCCGCAGGGCAUGCCUGUUCGAGCGUCAUUUCAACCCUCAAGCUCUGCUUGGUGUUGGGCCCCGCCCCUGCGGCCGGCCCUAAAGUCAGUGGCGGCGCCGUCUGGCUCUAAGCGUAGUACAUCUCUCGCUCUAGGGUCCUGCGGUAGCUUGCCAGAACCCCAACUUCUAUGGUUGACCUCGGAUCAGGUAGGGAUACCCGCUGAACUUAAGCAUAUCAAUAAGCGGAGGA
Molecule: unclassified non-coding RNA, 273 nt
Filed under: Oidiodendron sp.
Lineage: Eukaryota; Fungi; Ascomycota; Leotiomycetes; Myxotrichaceae
Description: partial contains 5.8S ribosomal RNA, internal transcribed spacer 2, and large subunit ribosomal RNA
Rfam family: 5.8S ribosomal RNA (bases 1-71)
Source: RNAcentral